UACAUGCAGUCGAACGGGAUAGAACUUAGCAAUAGGUUCUUGAGAGUGGCGCUUUGGUGCGUAACACGUAUGCAACCUACCUUUAACUGGGGGAUAGCCUCUCGAAAGAGAGAUUAAUACCCCAUAGUAUAACUGGAGAGCAUUUUUUGGUUAUUAAAGAUUUAUCGGUUAAAGAUGGGCAUGCGGCUGAUUAGGUAGUUGGUGAGGUAAUGGCUCACCAAGCCAACGAUCAGUAGGGGGUCUGAGAGGAUGUCCCCCCACACUGGUACUGAGACACGGACCAGACUCCUACGGGAGGCAGCAGUAGGGAAUAUUGGACAAUGGGGGCAACCCUGAUCCAGCCAUUCCGCGUGCAGGAAUAAGGCCCUAUGGGUCGUAAACUGCUUUUGUAUGGGAAAAAAUCAUCUUACGUGUAGGAUGUUGAUGGUACCAUGAGAAUAAGGAUCGGCUAACUUCGUGCCAGCAGCCGCGGUAAUACGAAGGAUCCAAGCGUUGUCCGGAUUUACUGGGUUUAAAGGGUGCGUAGGCGGGGAAUUAAGUCAGUGGUGAAAGCUGGUAGCUCAACUAUCAAAUUGCCAUUGAAACUGAUUCUCUCGAGUACGGUUGAGGUAGCUGGAAUGUAACAUGUAGCGGUGAAAUGCUUAGAUAUGUUACAGAACACCGAUUGCGAAGGCAGGCUACUAAACCGUAACUGACGCUGAGGCACGAAAGCGUGGGGAUCAAACAGGAUUAGAUACCCUGGUAGUCCACGCUGUAAACGUUGCAUACUCGGUCUUAGCGAUAUACAGUUAGGACCUAAGCGAAAGCAUUAAGUAUGCCACCUGGGGAGUACGGUCGCAAGAUUGAACUCAAAGGAAUUGAC
This 862-nucleotide ribosomal RNA is filed under the name uncultured Bacteroidota bacterium. RNAcentral's name for it is "bacterial SSU rRNA". It matches the Rfam family "Bacterial small subunit ribosomal RNA", at positions 52 to 914 of the family's 1533-position model. The record is from RNAcentral. Lineage: Bacteria; Pseudomonadati; Bacteroidota.